GCAGAGUUUGUGAGUGGUCAGCCUGGGGACAGUGAGACUGAGAUGCGCGUUCACGAGACUACUCCAUUUUUUUCUUUCAGCCUUUGAAUGAAUACAACGUUGCCCGGUUGGAAUAUUAUCGCUAUUUUAUGAGAAAAAUAGCAUAAAAAUUGAUUUUAAACAGCGUUUGACAUGCUUCUAAGUACGGAAUAUUUUGAAUUUUCUUGUCACGAAAUGCGCUCGUGCGUCACCCUUUCGGAUAGUGACCUGAACGCACAAACAAAACGGAGCUAUUUGAAUAUAACUAUGGAUUAUUUGGAACCAAAACAACAUUUGUUGUUGAAGUAGAAGUCCUGGGAAUCCAUUCUGAUGAAGAACAGCAAAGGACCGAAAGCAGACCAAUGACCAGACCCAAACUCCCCCCCCCACCUGAACAAGAUGCCCGGUUGAGGCGGCUACCGAGGACUGAGCAGCUAAUCGCCGGGGAGCAGCAGAAGCAGCAACAGCAACAACAACCACCAGACUAGAAACCAUGACCCACCUGGAAUUUAGCAGGGCAGUACUCCAGAGAGGUAGGGGCUUUGUGAAGUCUGACCUGAACUGCCUGGUGAAACUCGCAGGACCACCAGAAUCAUAUGAAGCCAGUUUCAAGAUCCCCCAGUUACUAGAACAGUUUUGGUUAAAAUUCAGAAACACCCUUUCCGACACAGAAUCCAAGGUAGUUACUGUACAGCUCCACAAUGAAUGCCUCCAGGACUAUCACCACCCUCAAGUCAGUGUCUAGGAGGGUCCUGGAUGAAGACAACAUCUGGACUGGGGAACAAAAAUGGCUGGUCCAGUUAAGACUGGAUCUAACCGGAGUUGGCAGAGUCCAUCACCUCCCAAGCACCAUCACGCUGCAUGGGUAACAACAGAAACUCCGUCCACUACUACAGCAUGCCCAAACUGUGCAGGAACUGCAGCCAACUGGGCCAUCUGGCCGCAUCCCGAACAGCUUUCAUCUCAAGAGUUGUAAAGACAAUCAUCCCACCUCAGACUUUACUUCCACAUGCCCCUGCAACCUGUGUGGUAAAGGGGGCCACUUCUUCAGAACCUGCCCUAGUUUCUAUGCCGGUAAGCCAAGGGCUAAUGCCACCAAAGCCCAAACCCACCAACCUCCAACCCCUUCACAAAACAACAACAACGAAGACUCAGAACCAGUCCCAGACCUUUCCACAGGCUUCAACCAACCCACCACCCAAUACGUCCCAGAAAUGGCUCCCACCCCUGUCAACACAUCAAGAUAUCCCAGAAACAGUCCCCAAUGCCACCUCUGUCCCCCUCCAACAAAUCCUUUCCUAGCCAACUUCACCCUCUCCAAACCCCUGGUCAAAGGGGAGCCGGUUUCGAGUUAGGCCAUAGAACCGGAAGAACCACUCGCCUCACAACUCCAAAAUGACCAAAUGGAAAAGACUAGAAAAACAGCAGAUCAACAAGAGACCAGACCAUAAAAACACCCCAGAACCCAAACCACACCGCCAGCAAGAAUGACCCUCAAAACCCCCUAUCCCCUCCAAGAAACCAUCUCCCCCUCCUAAACCCAUCGAUAUAUCACCCCCCCAUCCAUUACUUCAUCUGAUAUCUUCUCCCUGCCCCUUACUGCCCCAUAUCCUCCCUCCCACCACCAACUGCCCUUGACCCCUCUACCAUUACCCCUACUACCCCUGACUCUUCCCCCCUGCUCCUUAGAUCCAACCCCCCUUAGCGCUGCCUGGCCCUGAUCCCGCAGAGCAGUAAACCAGCCAGCCUCAGUCCAAACCCCCAAACACUCUGAGCCACCUUCACCCCUCAUGUCACCCUCCAUCCCUCCACCCAGUCAGUACAGGGGGCCACCAGUCAGUCAGUGGGGCAGCAUGUCAACAUCCUGUGAACAGCCAAGAAUCACCCAACAACACAAACGACUCGCUAGAGGCCCUCAUCCACCUCCCAUACCCCUGCUUCUUCACCAUCCAUUUCCCCCUUCCUCCUCCUACACUUAUCCCUCUCACAGAACCAGACCAGGAACCAUUCAUCACCACGCCAGAAGAGGAAGGAACAAAGGUAUAGACAUAUGCUCGGAGCAAGCAGGCCACAGAGGAGUACCAUCACUGACCUCUGAGUCUUGGGCUUCCAGUUGUCUCUGCUCGCUCCUUUGGUUGUUCUUCCUCCCCUCUUCAAAUCCAGUACCAGUCCCAGCACCAACCCAGUUCUUGGUUUCUAGUACCAGACCUGCCAGACGAGGCCUGGAGGAGGGACAAAAUAU
Molecule: long non-coding RNA, 2260 nt
Filed under: Salmo salar (Atlantic salmon)
Lineage: Eukaryota; Metazoa; Chordata; Actinopteri; Salmoniformes; Salmonidae
Description: lncRNA (ENSSSAG00000099425.1)
Source: RNAcentral